GUGGGCGUGGAUGAGGUCAUACUCGCCGGUGGCCGCGGCGCGCAGGGCGGCCCUGGUGAGCGUGUGGUUGAAGGCCAUCGUCCAGGCCA
Molecule: transfer RNA, 89 nt
Filed under: Dactylosporangium siamense
Lineage: Bacteria; Bacillati; Actinomycetota; Actinomycetes; Micromonosporales; Micromonosporaceae
Description: tRNA-Ala
Source: RNAcentral